Molecule: small nucleolar RNA, 89 nt
Filed under: Ochotona princeps (American pika)
Lineage: Eukaryota; Metazoa; Chordata; Mammalia; Lagomorpha; Ochotonidae
Description: Small nucleolar RNA SNORA74 (ENSOPRG00000022403.1)
Source: RNAcentral
CUCAGCUGUAGGUGCCUGCCUAGGGUUGCCUUGUACCUAAGCAAGUGUUACACAGCUGGGAGACAAGCAGCCAGGAGCUGACUGACAUU